ACUCCUACGGGAGGCAGCAGUGGGGAAUAUUGCACAAUGGGCGCAAGCCUGAUGCAGCCAUGCCGCGUGUGUGAAGAAGGCCUUCGGGUUGUAAAGCACUUUCAGUCGUGAGGAAGGUAGUGUAGUUAAUAGCUGCAUUAUUUGACGUUAGCGACAGAAGAAGCACCGGCUAACUCCGUGCCAGCAGCCGCGGUAAUACGGAGGGUGCGAGCGUUAAUCGGAAUUACUGGGCGUAAAGCGCAUGCAGGUGGUUGUUAAGUCAGAUGUGAAGCCCGGGGCUCAACCUCGGAAUAGCAUUUGAAACUGGCAGACUAGAGUACUGUAGAGGGGGUAGAAUUUCAGGUGUAGCGGUGAAAUGCGUAGAGAUCUGAAGGAAUACCGGUGGCGAAGGCGGCCCCUGGACAGAUACUGACACUCAGAUGCGAAAGCGUGGGAGCAAACAGGAUUAGAUACCCCUGGUAGACUGUCA
This 469-nucleotide ribosomal RNA is filed under the name uncultured bacterium. RNAcentral describes it as "bacterial SSU rRNA". It matches the Rfam family "Bacterial small subunit ribosomal RNA", at positions 335 to 802 of the family's 1533-position model. The record is from RNAcentral.